Long non-coding RNA from Zeugodacus cucurbitae (melon fly), 1877 nucleotides. RefSeq lists it as uncharacterized. Lineage: Eukaryota; Metazoa; Arthropoda; Insecta; Diptera; Tephritidae. The transcript is spliced from 2 exons. The record is from RefSeq and is a predicted model, not a curated record.
UUUUACACGGUUUUUUUUGCACGGUUUUUUUUUACACGGUGUUUUUGAACACUUCCCAGUUACCAUUUGUACACGGUUUUACUUUUUUUACACGGAUUUUUUAUUUUAAUUGUAUACUUUUUUGCAAUAAAAUCAAAAUUCCAUACGUCAACACGUCACAAAUCCAAUUCUGUUAAUAGAAUUUAAUAAAUUUUAAAUUAGAUUUAAACUAAAAAAUACAAAUUAUAGAUUCGAAAGCCAGUGAAAAGGUUGCAACAAUUUCAAUACGUAAACAAAUAAAUGAAGCUAUAUGAAGAAGUAAGAAAAAAGAAGACACAGCGAUUAUUGACGAAACUGUGAAAUGUAUUAUUUUUUUACCAUUCCCAGAAUAGUUGUUGUUUGUUCCUUCUAACAGUAAUAUGUACAUACAUAUAAUACCAGAAAAGUCUAUAACAACAACAACAUUGUAAAUACUCUGUACGAAUAGAUAGAUUUUCAUGUAAAAUAAGAUCUUUUUUACACGUUUUCUAUUUUUUGCACGAUUUUUUUCUUAAAUUGGUCCCAAUAGCGUGUUUUAUAUAAAAAUUUGAUUUUUUUUGCACGGUUUUUUUUACACGUGUAAUUUACUGUCCCAGUUAACCGUACAAAAAGGAGAUCAACUGUAUACAAUAACCGUUUUUUAUAUUGUACAUACAUAUAAUGACGAAUAUUAAGAUUACUCCCCAAGUGAGUGGAAUUUUCUGUGUGUGAUAUGAGCUUUUAAUAGAUGCUUUGUGGAUCAUACAAGGGCAUACUAAUAUUCAUUAUGUUUUCCGUACACUUCAGUCUCUGUGUGAGAUUUCAAAACAAAGUUGUGGUCAAUGUUGUCUUUAAUGUUUUACGAUUCUAAGAGGAUAAGCAACUUCAAAAGCAAAAAUAUUGAGUUCGAAUUCGGCAUGAAAUGGGCACUACCCUACAUGUAUGUAUUUAUUAGCUUCUUUCUUUUCUUUCGAAGCAUUGUCAAGUGUAAGAUUAACAGAUAAUUUAUGCUAUAAUUAAGAGAUUUUAAAACAAAGCAGAUUAGCCGAAGCUGGAUCAAAACCAUAUUGUUUCGCAAAUAUUUUUUGUUUGCACAAAGGACAAUGACUUGCAAAAUGUAUGUUGAGAUCUUAAGUAUACUGCAUACGGUAAAAUAUACGGGCUGAGUGGAGUGCUGAACACAACGAAAUCUAUUAAGUGGAAAAUCGUUCUUCCAUCUGCUUCAAAGAAACUUGUUACAUAUGUUCCUUGGGAACGUAGGAGGGUUGCUAUUGCGAAAUCGGACCAAUGCCACGCCCACAAAAUGGCGAAAACCGAAAACAUACAUACUGCCAUAACUAAAGCUAUAAAACUCAAAUUUGGCACAAGGGAUUGCACUAGGAAGGGGCAUUUUUGGAGUUGUUUCCCAGGAGGCUUCGGCUUCCGCCUGUUCGUUGGGUUACGGCCCUUCGGGGAGUUUCGUGGUGGCUGUGGUUUCUAAACCUAAAAGCAGGCAGAGGGCCUCGGUGUGGAGUUGCAAACAACCGAGUGCCGGACCCAAAGCACGGCAGAGGUUUUUGAUGGGCCUCGGCGCUACCAAGGUGGCAUAAGUGUGUCCAUACCACACGCCAAUUGGUACUGGAAGGUGCAUAGGUAACUCAGGGCGCUGAUCAACGCAUUGUAUGGAUCCGCUUGUAUUUUUGAAUACACGUGAGGUUAGGCAGGUACUCACUUUAAACAAAUUCAUUUGUCUACUCCAUCCAUGAAUAUAUUUGAAAUCAGAUAAUAACCACGCCCACCUCCCAAACAAAGGUUAAGUUGCAAACUACUAAGAGUGUGUUAACUCACUAACGGAAAACGUUAGAAAUACCAAAUUUUACAGAAGAAAUGGCAGAAGAGAG